GUACACUCCUGCGGGAGGCAGCAGUAGGGAAUCUUCCACAAUGGGUGCAAACCUGAUGGAGCAAUGCCGCGUGAGUGAAGAAGGUCUUCGGAUCGUAAAGCUCUGUUGUUAGAGAAGAACACGUGCUAGGUAACUACUAGCGCCUUGACGGUAUCUAACCAGAAAGUCACGGCUAACUACGUGCCAGCAGCCGCGGUAAUACGUAGGUGACAAGCGUUGUCCGGAUUUAUUGGGCGUAAAGGGAGCGCAGGCGGUCUGUUUAGUCUAAUGUGAAAGCCCACGGCUUAACCGUGGAACGGCAUUGGAAACUGACAGACUUGAAUGUAGAAGAGGAAAAUGGAAUUCCAAGUGUAGCGGUGGAAUGCGUAGAUAUUUGGAGGAACACCAGUGGCGAAGGCGAUUUUCUGGUCUAACAUUGACGCUGAGGCUCGAAAGCGUGGGGAGCGAACAGGAUUAGAUACCCUGGUAGUCCCAU
RNAcentral lists this ribosomal RNA (475 nucleotides) under uncultured organism. RNAcentral's name for it is "partial 16S ribosomal RNA". It matches the Rfam family "Bacterial small subunit ribosomal RNA", at positions 331 to 798 of the family's 1533-position model. The record is from RNAcentral.